This 301-nucleotide ribosomal RNA is filed under the name uncultured bacterium. Its description in RNAcentral is "partial 16S ribosomal RNA". It matches the Rfam family "Bacterial small subunit ribosomal RNA", at positions 509 to 807 of the family's 1533-position model. The record is from RNAcentral.
CAGUCGCCACGGUAAUACGUAGGGUGCAAGCGUUAAUCGGAAUUACUGGGCGUAAAGCGUGCGCAGGCGGUUCUAUAAGACAGAUGUGAAAUCCCCGGGCUCAACCUGGGAACUGCAUUUGUGACUGUAGAGCUGGAGUGCGGCAGAGGGGGAUGGAAUUCCGCGUGUAGCAGUGAAAUGCGUAGAUAUGCGGAGGAACACCGAUGGCGAAGGCAAUCCCCUGGGCCUGCACUGACGCUCAUGCACGAAAGCGUGGGGAGCAAACAGGAUUAGAUACCCCGGUAGUCCCUGUCUCUUAUAC